GACAGGAGGUGCCGAGCGUUAGGCGGAAUCACUGGGCUUAAAGCGUGUGUAGGCGGGUCCGUAAGUACCUUGUGAAAUCCCAUGGCUCAACCAUGGAACUGCUUGGUAUACUGCGGAUCUUGAGCCACCUAGGGGCAAGUGGAACAAACGGUGGAGCGGUGAAAUGCGUAGAUAUCGUUUGGAACGCCAAUGGUGAAAACAACUUGCUGGGGGUGUGCUGACGCUGAGACACGGAAAGCCGGGGGGAGCAAACGGGG
RNAcentral lists this ribosomal RNA (257 nucleotides) under uncultured bacterium. Its description in RNAcentral is "partial 16S ribosomal RNA". It matches the Rfam family "Bacterial small subunit ribosomal RNA", at positions 524 to 777 of the family's 1533-position model. The record is from RNAcentral.